CUAUAAUGAAUAUAUUUUAGGUUUGCAAGAAGGUGAUGUGUAGGGAGACCCCCUGAAACUAUUGCUACGGAAUAAAAGAUAAAAUGCUCCUGAUUAUAGUAAAUACAAAAUUGCAUGCAGGAUUGUGUAAAGACAAUGCCAGGUUGGGCUCCCAGAAUGAGCCAACAGCAUGUGAUGUGCUUCCCCCUGCAGAGAGCCUAUGAAUGGACGUGCAGUCAGGGAGGUUUCACAUCACCAAGAUUCCUAUCCCAAAAAAGCAGAUGUUCAUAGCUCUGGGAAUGGAAUGCGACCUUUGUGCAGGGUCUAUAAAUGGACGCAUGGGGGCGCCUGUCCAUAUGGAUAAGGUAGGGCUAUAACUGCCCUCAUCUUGCCACCGCUCUUCUAGGCCUCUUUACUCCCUUCUGAGAAUUUCUGGUCUAAUCCAUUGUUUUGCUUCACGUCCUGUUUCUAUGGAUUGUUUGUAACCAGCUUUUGCUGCAACUGUUACUGCUGAUUAAUAUCUGGAUAAUCAUAGGUUAUGGAAAGACUGUUUCUGUUUUGAGGCUCUGUUAGAAAUUACUGAUGCACAUAAUAUUUUAUAAAUUCUUAUCUCUGUAUAUUGUACUUUUGCAUACAGAUGUUAUGUUAAAGAAUUACUUCAUCCCCAUGUGACCAUCUCACCUCAUAAUCAAAUGGCCCUAAAUCCCUCACUAACCUACCCCCGCCCUCACUAAACUUAAUAAUAAAUGCUGAUAUAUCCAGUGCAUUGGCGGCACCACGGGACCAGAAGGCGGUGACGCCCCCUGGACCCAGCUUUCACUGUCUUGUGUGUGUCUAUUAUUUCUCGACCUGCCGAUCUGCCUGGGAACAAAGAGAGAGCCCCGUUGCACUGUGGGCUGCUGGCCAGAUCCCACAAUAGUGAUGAUGAACCAUUAUGCAACAGCAUGGUCAACAAUAACAAAACACAAUCGGAUUUUUAAAACUGAGCAAAAGGACUUAAAUAGACAUUUAUCCAAAGAAGAUACACAAAUGACCAACAGACACAUGAAAAGAUGUUCAAUGUCACUACUUAUUAAGGUAAAGCAAAUCAAAAUCACAGUGAAAGCAAUUUGGUGAUUCCUCAAAAUAUUCAUAUGAUUCAGCAAUU
RNAcentral lists this long non-coding RNA (1126 nucleotides) under Papio anubis (olive baboon). RNAcentral's name for it is "lncRNA (ENSPANG00000046427.1)". The record is from RNAcentral. Lineage: Eukaryota; Metazoa; Chordata; Mammalia; Primates; Cercopithecidae.